This 18-nucleotide small nuclear RNA is filed under the name Arabidopsis thaliana (thale cress). RNAcentral's name for it is "snRNA_07754". The record is from RNAcentral. Lineage: Eukaryota; Viridiplantae; Streptophyta; Magnoliopsida; Brassicales; Brassicaceae.
ACUUUGAAAAGAGAGUCA